AGCGAACGCUAGCGGCGGGCCUAACACAUGCAAGUCGAGCGGGGGAGCAAUCCCCAGCGGCGGACGGGUGAGUAACACGUAGGUUAUGUGCCCUUUGGUGGGGAAUAACCGUGGGAAACCAUGGCUAAUUCCGCAUAUCGAGCGAAAUCUUGAAAGCCUUCGGGCGCCAAAGGAGCAACCUGCGGCCCAUUAGCUUGUUGGUAGGGUAACGGCCUACCAAGGCGAUGAUGGGUAGCUGGUCUGAGAGGAUGAUCAGCCACACUGGAACUGAGACACGGUCCAGACUCCUACGGGAGGCAGCAGUGGGGAAUAUUGCGCAAUGGGCGAAAGCCUGACGCAGCCACGCCGCGUGAGUGAUGAAGGCC
This 365-nucleotide ribosomal RNA is filed under the name uncultured bacterium. Its description in RNAcentral is "bacterial SSU rRNA". It matches the Rfam family "Bacterial small subunit ribosomal RNA", at positions 29 to 416 of the family's 1533-position model. The record is from RNAcentral.